UACAGAGGGUGCGAGCGUUAAUCGGAAUUACUGGGCGUAAAGCGUGCGUAGACGGCUAUCUAAGUCGGGUGUGAAAGCCCCGGGCUCAACCUGGGAACGGCACUCGAUACUGCGGAGCUCGAGUACGAGAGAGGGGGGUGGAAUUCCAGGUGUAGCGGUGAAAUGCGUAGAGAUCUGGAGGAACACCGGUGGCGAAGGCGGCCCCCUGGUUCGAUACUGACGCUGAGGUGCGAAAGCGUGGGGAGCAAACAGG
RNAcentral lists this ribosomal RNA (253 nucleotides) under uncultured bacterium. RNAcentral describes it as "partial 16S ribosomal RNA". It matches the Rfam family "Bacterial small subunit ribosomal RNA", at positions 524 to 776 of the family's 1533-position model. The record is from RNAcentral.